This is an RNA transcript of Anarrhichthys ocellatus (wolf-eel), 4447 nucleotides long. It is a transcript of the gene named gasdermin Eb, with no coding region annotated. Lineage: Eukaryota; Metazoa; Chordata; Actinopteri; Perciformes; Anarhichadidae. The record is from RefSeq and is a predicted model, not a curated record. The transcript is spliced from 11 exons.
CAAAUAAUAAUCAUAUUUGUAUUGUCAUUAUCAUCAUCAUUAUUGUUAUUAUUAAUAAUAAUAUUAUGUGCUUAGCCUCAGUAGCAUGCCCACAGCUUCCUGUUGCGGAAAGGCGGAGCGUCUUUUGUCCAAAACAAGCUGCACAACCGACACUGAUUCUCUGCUUUAAGUCUGACCGCAGACACAGUUUCUCGUCAGGUUCCUCUCUCAAACAAGGAUUCGGGGUUUUAUUCAGCUGGGAGAUGUUUGCCACAGCCACCAGAAACUUUGUGCAGGAGGUGGAUCGUGGAGGUUUGCUGAUGCCAGUGUCCAACCUGAAUGACACAAUUGCUCUUCUGACAGUGGUGGUGAAGCGCAAACGUUUCUGGUGCUGGCAGAAGCCCAAGUACAUUCCAACUGAUUUUGACCUCAAUGAUAUACUAACAGGAGACACACCUAUAAAGCCAGGUGUCAUAGAGGCAGAUUUCAUCAAAUACAAUGGGACAUUUGGUGACCACAUUCAGGGAACCGUAGAUGCAAAUUUUGCCCACACCAGUGUCAGCCUAGAGGGUAAAGAAUCUUCCAAACUCCAGUCACCAUUUGGUAGUUUAAAAAAAGAAGAAGUGGAUGUGCAGAAGUUGCUGCGAGACUCCAAAGACAGGAUCCUGGAUAUGUCCCAUGGGCUGGUCCAGCAGACAAAAGAGAAGCCCAGACAGGCUUUUGGGAUUGUGAAGGAACGUAUUUUGACUACUCAGCCCUGUUCGGUCAUAGAGGAGGUGCAGCAGGGAGGACAGUGUGGAGGAGGACUGAGCCUCUGCGGGCCCAAGAGCACAAAGGUUUCCUUGAAGGAGAAUGGGAGCUUGAGUAAAGACAGUAAUAUCACCAUGGAGAUUCCCAUCCACACUACCAUUGCAUAUGCCCUUAUAGAGCUAGAGAUCAAACGUGAUGGGCGCUACGAGCUGUGUCUGAUGUCAGACACCGCUGGGUAUUUUGAAGUAGAUGGCCCCGAUAAGAAAGGACCGUUGGGUGUCUUUGGACCUCCUGCCUCUGAAAAUAGCCACCUUAGACGAGAGCUGGAGCAACUGAGAGAUCAUUUCCAGCUGCUUUCAGCUCUUCCUGCCACCACAAGGUCGUCUCUACUCCAACAAAUCCCAAAAGUUACGGCGGACCAAGGGGCCGUCUGUUCACUGCAGAAUGUGCUGGAACAGAUGUGCUUAGAUAAGAGACCUGCCCUGGAUGAGGUCACAACGACAGAGUCCCAAAAACAGAACAUCCAAGCAAUUCUCGACCUUUUAGAGCAGUCUGGUCAAGUGGAUUCCACACCACUCCUUUCGGCAUUUCACCUUAUUAUCAGCGCCAUGGAUGAGAUGACAAACGAUUGUCUUUCUGUUUUGGGAAUGUGCUGCAGCCUCACUGUGCUACCGGCUCUGGAGCUACUGGUGCAGUGCGUAUCGGGGAAGGGGGAGUUGCCUCUGAGCAGCGCAGGCUUAGCUGCGCUGACAGAAGGCGUCUAUGAGAAGACUGAACGUCUGUUUGCCUCCUCGCAUGUGUCCCUGAAGAGAGAUGGAAACACAGUGAAGACGGAAAUAAGCAGCCUGCCAGGAAACCAUCCUCUGGUCCUGUGUAUCGCUGUCAGAGGUCUCGCCUCGUUGGCCCACUGUGAUUGAACUGAAGACGCCUUAAUAUCCAACCAAUACUUUAAAACGUUACACUGGAACGAGGAUGCAGGUACGGCUGGCAUCCACCACUUCAUGGAUGGAGUCGAUCUUGGUGCCAUAAAGGUUGGCAUCAUACUCGCCAUGCUCCAGAUAACGGUUCUCCCUGAUGUCCUUCUCCAUCUCUUCUCGCGUCACAAAGCAGUAGUUCUGGCCGUCUCUCUCCUCUUCCCUCGGAUGUCGUGACGUGACUGGAGAUGAAAAGGUGAGCAGAUGGUGUUACAUGUACCCUGGCAGCAAAUCUAGUCGAAGACAAUUCAACUGCCUCGGCUGCCCGUCUCACUCACUCACAGGGUACAGUGGUUCCAUAUCGCAGAGGGUUCAUGACGAUUAGUCUGUUCUUCAGGCUCCGCCUCCCAACUCCCUGGGCUCCAAUCACAACCAGCGUUUUCCUCUGAAACGGUGGCAUCUUGGCUACUUCCUCAUAGAUCUGCAGCUCAUAUCGGUCAAACUCUGUUCAGGGCAAUUCACAGGCUGGAUGAGUACCAUAACCUUGUCGAAGCACUUACAGUUUCCCAAUGCAAACCUUUCACAACACUUCUUGUAUGUACAAAAAUAAGAUCCAGUGGUGAUGCACACCUGCAUUCUUUGAAGUGAGGUACAUCAUUUUUUUCUUCUUUUUCUUCGCGGUUCCACAGAUCAUCCCUGAAAUCAAUUUAGAGAAAGUUUUUGAUCACCACAUGGUGGUGCUAAAGCCAAGUCUUUUCUGACUAUCAUGAUAACGUGAAGGAGAAGCAGGGAGCGUGGUGUGAAUGAGUUGGCAUGAUUUGAACUAACCUGUACCAGAAGUAUCCCAGUCUCUUCUCACAAAAGCUUUCCUCUUCUCCUCCAACAACUGACUGGGGAUGAGACCAGUCGCUCCACCAACGACUUUGCGCGCCUAAUCAGAAAUUGGACCAGUAAAGAGAUUCAAUAUUUCACAUAGUAAAAGCUAUCAUGUCUAAGUAUCUGUCGCCAACAUCUUCUCCUCAUCUUUGGCAGCGUCUUGCAGCUUUCCAAAGUAAAUUCCACCUCACUUGUCUGGUCGAAGCAGCACUGGCUUUGUUAGGACUAGAUCUUCUCACCUGCCACCAGUUGGAGUCCUCCCUGUUGACUACAUGAAGGAUGUCUCCCUUGGAAAAGACCAGGCCUGCCUCUUUACAGGGGAUCAGGUUGUCCGUGGCCGGAUUAUAGUUGAAGUGGGGCUUCAGAUAAACCUACAACAUGUUAACGAGAUAUCAGACAAUCAAAUCAAAAAAAAACUUCCUUUUUUCCUACACUCAUUAUAUUCAAUUAGUCUUCUUAUUCACAACUGUUACCAUAACUGAAACCCAGCAAGCACAUAACCAAACAGUAGAAUUAGAUCAUUCGGUCAUCCCUGGCACAAAGGUCAGUGUCUGACAUAACCCUACGCACUGCUCCUCUGCGUCAGCUGUUGCGAGUACUCGUUACUUGAAGAAGCGGAGGGGGUACUCCAGUGAACAGAGUAGUGUGUGUGUGUCACAGAUAGUGUGAGAAGUGUUAUUAAUAGACCGUCAUUGGGCUCAAUUUUCAGAAGCCUGGCAUUCUGAGAUCACCCAGGUCAGGCAGCUCUCCCCCAAUCUCUGAAAGGUACAGUAUGACAGCCUUGUACACUUGGCACACCGGGACUUACACAUCCUGUAUUCUCAUGAACUUAACACGCUGGUUUCAAGAUAUCAAGCUAGUUUAACAGAGUAUUCAAUUCAGUUUUGUCACAGAAUUUUUUGUAUCCCACAGGUGAAUCACUGGGCAGGAAAAUAUCAAAUGCAGUCUCCUUUUUCCUCACCCACCUGUGGAGGUGCCGGUGUGUCUCUGUAGCUGGGCAGAACCUUGAGUGUGACGCUCCCACUGCAGUCCCCCAACAGCUCCUGGAGUUCACGAGGACUCUCACCGACCUCGCGGCCAUUCACUUCGCGGAUUAUGUCUCCCGUGUUCAGCAUGCCCUGCCGGUCAAUCGAGCUGCCGUGCAGGAUCCGUGCGAUCACCAUCUCUCCCCGCUCCACGCGGAAUGUCAUCCCCUGAAAGAGUCGUUUAGUAGCAUACAUUCGCACUUCAUAAAUCAUGCCGGAGAUCUUUUUUCAUGGCAUGGUCGCUGUGAAAGAAGGAACUCAUGUCGAGAUACUGUGUAAACUAAGUCAGACUAUUCAGCAAAUGGUCAAUAAAAGAGGACAUGAAUAACACAGUGAACACGUUUCCUCUGCAGAGCUGUGGGUGAUUUAAAUGCCUGGCUAACUUACCAGCAGUUCCCCGGCUUUCUUCUGGAUGCCAAUCAUCCUCACAGCAUCAGCUGGCAUGAGUGAACCCGUCAACAAGGCGUUGCUGUUCGCCGCAGUGUGGGGCAUUUCAUAGCACUUUGCAGACACUUUAUCAUGAGCCUCUAUCAAAGACUGAGGUAGAACAAAGAAGAACGGGAAAGAGAAGUACAGACGGCAAUAAAAGUAUGGUUCACAAUCUCUGUACAAAGUACAUUUACACCCUUUGCUCACUAAGAAAGACAACAAUCAGCACUACUAUGUGCUCUUAAACUCUUAACAGUGAUUGCUACUGCAACUUGCAUUUGAUCCGCAUCGACAAAUUGAUAAAAUAGAGACGAUAAAUCAGUCUGGUUCUUACCCUAGCAGCCACAACAUAGAGUUAGCAUUGUUCAGAGACUACAAACUGCAUCAGCAAAUGUGUAGAUUUACUGAAACGGUACAUGACAGUCUUCUCCCCCUGACUUUACCCACAUAACUCAGCCUGCUAUUGGCCCAAGG